AGCAGUUAAUCGCUGUGGUUGUUUGUCCCUUGUGGGAGCCCCAGGCGUGUGCCCCAAUGCCCAGCCAAGGCAACGGGCCCAAAAUCAGAGAUGCAAAAGGCUGUGCCCCUUUUUCUUGUGAGGCUUGUAGCUCAGGGGUUAAGUGGCUUUGUGGAAAAUAAGAUCCAGAGCCGGUGGCAGAGUUUCUCCUAUAGAAACGCUGCCAUUUGGGCCUGAGCUGCAACUGCAGAGCAGAGAGCGAUGGAUAUCCCGGGGGCAGCGAGGGAGAUGAAGGGGCCGAGAACCAACUGCGAAGGCUCUGGCACGGACUGCUGCUCUGCCUGCGAUGGAAACGGCACCAGAGUUUACCUUGAAGCUUGUGCAACGACUGGACCAGCUCCACGCAGAAACGGACCCUGAGCAAAACAAACCUGGAGCCCGACCUGGGCUGUGAUUGAUCAUCCUGACUAUUGGGCCUCUGGAGUUUGUUUAAACCAAGCUGGGAUUUUCACCAAGACAACUUGCAUUAUGAGAUUUCCUGUGCUGCCAGGAGAGGCAGAAACCGCCUCGCUGAGCCUCUUCUGGUGCGCUGCCUUUUCCGUUUCUGGGCCUUGGUUAAUCUCUGUUUAAAAGCAGAAGAGAGUGAGAGCAGUGACUGGAGCUGGACAGGACUGGGGUUUCUGUUUCACUGGAAAGGCCCCAUAUUCUGCUUUUCUUUUUCCACUCCAAAAUAAUAUAAAAACAAAAAUAAGAUGUUUCCCGUAAAACAGAACUGUUGGAAAAAUCUCCUUUGGAGCUGAAGGAGUAUUUUUUUUUCAAUACAAUCAAAAUAUUUCACUCCUAUUUUUACCUUCAGUAAAGCCCCGAAUUGGAAAGCGAGGCUGUUUUUCGGGAUGCGGUUUCACCCGCACUGAUAGUUUCUGCAGCGCUCGGCUCCCCGGGUGAUGGGUGCGGGGAGCUGCAGGUUUUGGGGUGCUCGGCCAACUUCUGUCCCCCAAAACGGGAGCGGUGACCCCAGUGUCCCGGACGGGAGAUGCUGAAGUCAAAGCCCCUGGCAGCUCUGAGCUGUUAGAAAAAGGAGCUGAAUUUAUAGCUGUAAUAUUUGGAGCAGUUUCUGAGCAUCUCUGGGGUUUUGACAGAGCCCUGUUUUCUGCUCACGCUGCCAAGCAAUAUAGGCAAAUCUGCACCGGGUGUAAUAUGCAGUAAUAUAAUGAGGCCAUGGAGAUUAGUCCCCAGAUCAGGGCUGUGCAUCCAUCAUCCUGAGUCCCCUGGCCCCUCUGUGUUCUCUGGUUUUGCCUCCCCAUCACACACACGCGUGGGCUCAGGGACCUUGGGGACCGUCCCCACCUCGUGUGGCUCAUGUUUGUGCACUCGGUGCUGUCUCCAUGUAAAUCUCCCCUCCCCAGGCUCUGGGCUGGGGCUGAAAUGCUUUAGGUGGUGACUGUCCCCAAGCUGGGGUUGUCCUGGGGACAGCUGAGUGAGCAAGAGGCUGUUGUUGAAGGCACGUUGUUGUUUCCACCAGAAUAAUGCAGUUAUAUCAUCUUGCUAGGGAAUUUUUUCCGUAACGUUUCACUCUUGCACGGAAGAAUGUUUAUUAACAGAAAAGAGUGAUUACAAGGGUCUCCUCAACACACUUCAUCCAGUGGGGGCUGCUGGCCAGGAUGGGGCUGGUUUGAUCAUAUUAACCCGAAAUCACAGUGUCCCAAUUAAUUUCUCGGGAGCCCGGGGCUGUGCCGGGCGCAGGGGCAGCCGCGCUCGGGCUCCCGGGGCAGCUGGUUUCGUGCGAGCAAAGUGUCCGGCUGGCUCCUGCCUUCGGAGAGGAAAAACACUGGCCCAGAAGGAGGAGGCGAGGAUGGCGGCCAAACCCAAGGGAGAACCAGACACCACUCGGGUGUUUCCAUUGCAAACAGCAGAGCCCAGACGGUGCGAGGGAGGCGAUGGAGCCUUCGGCUCCGGGUGCUGCUGCGGCGGCUGGAGGGCUUGGGGGCACCAGCCUGGGGGACACCCCAAUUCCACCCCCAACGGGCUACCAGGGGCACAGCAGUUCCCAGCCAGUGGUGACAGAGGAGUGUCACCCAGGAAGGCAGGGCAGAUGUCCAUCACAGCUUGGUGGCUCUUUCUUUUGCAUCCCCAAUGGCUUUUGGUUUGUCCAAGUCUGUCCUCCCUGACUCCUGUCACCCCAGUGUCCCCAGUCUCCCUAUGGAUGGGCAGUCCUUUGUGUAUUUUUUAAUGUAUUCAUUUAAAAUCCUACUAAACCCUUGUCCUGAGCGGCA
Columba livia (rock pigeon) is the source of this 2252-nucleotide long non-coding RNA. RefSeq lists it as uncharacterized. The record is from RefSeq and is a predicted model, not a curated record. The transcript is spliced from 2 exons. NCBI's taxonomy places the organism in Eukaryota, Metazoa, Chordata, Aves, Columbiformes, Columbidae.